GCGAUCGUUGUCUAGUCUGGUUAUGAUGUAGGCUUCCCAAGCCUGUGACCCGGGUUCAAAUCCCGGCGGUCGCACCA
This 77-nucleotide transfer RNA is filed under the name Candidatus Thorarchaeota archaeon. Its description in RNAcentral is "tRNA-Gly". It matches the Rfam family "tRNA". From Rfam's summary of the family: Transfer RNA (tRNA) molecules are approximately 80 nucleotides in length. The record is from RNAcentral. Lineage: Archaea; Promethearchaeati; Candidatus Thorarchaeota.